Molecule: long non-coding RNA, 421 nt
Organism: Salarias fasciatus (jewelled blenny)
Lineage: Eukaryota; Metazoa; Chordata; Actinopteri; Blenniiformes; Blenniidae
Exons: 3
Source: RefSeq, a predicted model, not a curated record
CUGUAGUUUGGAGUCACCAAGACUCAGAAGUGAUCGUAGCAGCGCUCACACAUCGCUCCUAAACUGUUUUUAUAUUUUCAUUCCAUUAUUUUAUGACUCCUACAUCUGUGUAUAUACACUCUUUUUUAUUUUUAUAACGAGACAACAACAAGAUGGAACUCAAUUCUCUCCUAAUUCUGCUGGAGGCUGCAGAGUACUUGGAAAGAAAAGACAGAGGGGCAGAACACGGUUAUGCGUCUGUUUUACCGUACAGCGGCGACUUUUCCCGAAAGAAAACGAAAGCUUCGCCAAUUUCCAGAAAAACUCAGAACAAUAGAUCAUCACACAAUGAGCUGGAGAAACACAGGUAGGAUGAAAAUCUCCUGCUAUCUUGUCUGUCUUUUAUGUGUCUCAGAUUUCUCUGCAUUGUCUUUGAAGGCAC